UGGGGAAUAUUGGACAAUGGGCGAAAGCCUGAUCCAGCCAUGCCGCAUGAGUGAAGAAGGCCUUUGGGUUGUAAAGCUCUUUUAGUGAGGAAGAUAAUGACGGUACUCACAGAAGAAGUCCUGGCUAACUCCGUGCCAGCAGCCGCGGGAAUAGGGAGAGGGCUAGCGUUAUUCGGACUUAUUGGGCGUAAAGGGCGCGUAGGCUGGUUAAUAAGUUAAAAGUGAAAUCCCGAGGCUUAACCUUGGAAUUGCUUUUAAAACUAUUAAUCUAGAGAUUGAAAGAGGAUAGAGGAAUUCCUGAUGUAGAGGUAAAAUUCGUAAAUAUUAGGAGGAACACCAGUGGCGAAGGCGUCUAUCUGGUUCAAAUCUGACGCUGAAGCGCGAAGGCGUGGGGAGCAAACA
Molecule: ribosomal RNA, 402 nt
Filed under: uncultured bacterium
Lineage: Bacteria
Description: partial 16S ribosomal RNA
Rfam family: Bacterial small subunit ribosomal RNA
Source: RNAcentral